UCAGUUUCAGCAGGUUAGUUGGUAUCAUAUCUGGGUAAUGAAAUAAUUGUAAUAAACUUUUAAUGAAUUCAGUUUUGGUAGGUGAGUUGUGUAUGUUUCUCCAAGGUGAUUCGAUCACACUCGCUAAUCGCUAAAGCCGCCAGUCACCACCACUUUGAGUGACUACCAUCGCACCAACGCAUAUGACCUCAGAGUAUCAAGUUUUUUCACCAAUUGUUCCAACCCGAGAAUACUAUUUUGUUAGGUACUGCAAACAACAUACUGACGGGUUAUGGGCCGUGGUUGAUGUAUCUUUGGACAACUUGCACCCUUCCACAACCGCAAGAUCUAGAAGAAGGCCAUUGGGUUGUUUGAUUGAAGAACUUCCAAUGGAUAUUCGAAGGUCACAUGGGUUGAACAUGUUGAAGUCGAUGAUAGAGCUGUUCAUGACAGCUAUCGGUCACUAGUGAAUUCUGGUUUAGCAUUUGGGGCCAGACGAUGGGUAGCAACGCUUGACAGACAAUGUGAACGGCUUGCAAGCGCGAUGGCUAGCAAUAUUCCUUGAGGCGACGUUGGAGGUCGGAGAUGAAGUUUUCCUCAAAAGCAAAAGGCAUUCUAAACUCUACUGAGACUGUAGCAAGAGGAAGGGUCUAGAGCUUGGACCCAAAUGAUCUAUU
RNAcentral lists this long non-coding RNA (656 nucleotides) under Helianthus annuus (common sunflower). Its description in RNAcentral is "hypothetical non coding rna". The record is from RNAcentral. Lineage: Eukaryota; Viridiplantae; Streptophyta; Magnoliopsida; Asterales; Asteraceae.